AGCAUCAGCUGGGAAUCGAACCUGGGCCGCCCGCGUGGUAGGCGAGCAUUCUACCACUGAACCGCCGAUGG
Molecule: transfer RNA, 71 nt
Filed under: Cordylochernes scorpioides
Lineage: Eukaryota; Metazoa; Arthropoda; Arachnida; Pseudoscorpiones; Chernetidae
Description: tRNA-Gly
Source: RNAcentral